This 1609-nucleotide long non-coding RNA is filed under the name Mytilus galloprovincialis (Mediterranean mussel). Lineage: Eukaryota; Metazoa; Mollusca; Bivalvia; Mytilida; Mytilidae. The record is from RNAcentral.
GCCCUGUUCAAUGUAUCUCAAAUAAGCAUUGCUUUUCCACAUACCAAUAUCUUGUAUGCAUUCCCCUGACAAACCUGCCUGGAAGGCAAAGGUGGCUCCCCCCCUUCGAAAUGAAUGUCCUGUUAACUUAUCACCACAACCUACAUUGGCAAGAAUGUCAUUUACAAAUGAUAUAAAGUUCACAUAGGAUAAUGAUUUAAUUACACUUUCACACAAUAAAGGUGUCUGACCAUUAGACCCUAAUAUUUGAUGGAGGCUGAGUAGGCGGUAUAAUGCAGAGGCUGGACAGAGAGGAUGACCUGUAAUCUGUGGUAUCACAACAUUUAGCUGUUUCUCACGGAACUGAAUAGUUUUUGUUUUAUGAAAAGUUAUAAUAAAUCCAUCAUCAAUACUCCCAAUCUGCUCAAUCCGUAGGAUAGGAUUAUGCUUAUCCUUGAAUAGAAAAUUGCCGGGUCUGAGUAAACCAAAGAAACCAAUUAAGGCAUGCCACGUAUACGGACAGGUCAUAAAGCCUACACAAGUUCAGUUCCUUCUUUAUCAUAAGUAGCAUAUUUGGAGUAACAGCUGUGGCUCCAACCUGUGCAUCACCUAUAUCUCGUUUAACACCAAGCAAUAAAUGCUUAAUAUGCCAGUUAUCGGUUAUGGGAUCCUUGAGACCAUUAGCUUUAUGCAGGUGCUUAACUACUGCUAAAUAAUUUUGGAUUGUACAAAAACGAAAUUUCUUGUAAUGAGCCAAAUAUGCUAUAUAUAGAGAAAAAUCAUCAGUCGAGACUGGCACUGGUUGAAUAGACAUAGUCUCACAAAAAGAAAGGUAGCAUUUUAACUGGAAUCUGUACAGUCGCUUUGUGCUCUCUGCCCAACCCCUGGAUCUGUACUCAGCCGCAACCCUUACGAGGGUGUCUUCCACACAUCCACCUGUACAUAAAAAAAUUAAAAGACAUAUGAUUUAGCAAUUCAUGCACUGAUAAAAUACCUUUAGGAUUAAAUGGUAACAAAUCAUACACUAGACUAAGUUUGUCUUUUUCAUGUAAUCUAGAACAUGCAUCUGCUAAUGUAUUAAAUUUACCAGGUAUAUGAAUGGCAAAAAUGGAAAAAUUAUACACAGCUUGCAUAUAAAACAAGAAUCUUAUGUAAACCAUCACAACUGGAUUCCUACUAGUCAUUUUAUUUAUAACACUUUUUGCUGUGACAUUGUCAGUAUAAAUAAUAACUCUCUUGUUUUCCAAAAAUGAUGCCCAUUUAAAAAUUGCAAUAACAAUAAUGAUUGUUUCUUUUAAAUUAAUGUGCAGAGGGGCCACAUCCGGCAUAUCAAGUGUCCAGUUUAUGUAGAAAAAAUCACCUAAAAAAGUGGCUCCCCCACCUUCAGAGCAAGCGUCGCACUGAAGGGAUGAAAUUGGCUUAUUGUCUAAAAUACAAGUCCUUCCAUUAAAAGUUUUCAUGAACUUAAGCCACCACUCUAGGUCUGCAGAAAAAUCAGAGUUCAGUAAAGCUUUGUCCGAAUGGUUCUUGAGUGUAUUCUUCAGAUCAAUCAUCCUACGCAUGAAAGAGCGACCCCCCUGUAUGACUUGAGACGCCCAGUUUAAACUACCAAUAAGCGACUCAAGUUGUC